GAAGCAUGACCGUAAGGACAUGUGGACAGUAUGGGAGUGAGAAUGUUGGCAUGAGUAGCGAGAUGUGGGUGAGAAUCCCACAGGCCGUAAACCCAAGGUUUCCAGGGGAAGGUUCGUCCGCCCUGGGCUAGUCGGGACCUAAGCUGAGGCCGAAAGGCGUAGGUGAUGGACAACAGGUUGAUAUUCCUGUACUACCGAUAACCGUUUGAGAGAAGGGAUGACACAGUAGGAUAAGCCACGCACACUCUUGGUUAU
Molecule: ribosomal RNA, 255 nt
Filed under: Clostridioides difficile
Lineage: Bacteria; Bacillati; Bacillota; Clostridia; Peptostreptococcales; Peptostreptococcaceae
Description: partial 23S ribosomal RNA
Rfam family: Bacterial large subunit ribosomal RNA
Source: RNAcentral